GGGACUACAGGAAACAGCUAUCACAUCUUCCUGGGUCAGGUACAUGCCUUUUGGUGGACGGCAUUUGGAACGCUGAGAAUGGUGGCGAUGCUGCAAGCUCUGAUACUCUCUUCUACCCAGCCCUAUCUUGCUGGUCUGAACAGGCUGCUCAUUAUUGCCCUCCUUUUUGGCUUCUUUUUUGGGAUCAUAAUCGCUAUCAUUUCCAUCCAUUGGAUGAGGUUCUUCUACAUCAUCAUCACUGUCACCUUGAUUAUUUCUAUUAGCAAGCUUUCGAGCCUGUCGAUCCAUCAAACUUGUCCUUGAGCGAGUUUUUUU
RNAcentral lists this long non-coding RNA (315 nucleotides) under Gallus gallus (chicken). Lineage: Eukaryota; Metazoa; Chordata; Aves; Galliformes; Phasianidae. The record is from RNAcentral.